GCGCUCGUGGCUUUGCACUACGGAUCAGAAGGUUAGGGGUUCGAGUCCCUUCGGGCGCG
This 59-nucleotide transfer RNA is filed under the name Verrucosispora sp. WMMC514. Its description in RNAcentral is "tRNA-OTHER". Lineage: Bacteria; Bacillati; Actinomycetota; Actinomycetes; Micromonosporales; Micromonosporaceae. The record is from RNAcentral.